This 207-nucleotide ribosomal RNA is filed under the name uncultured bacterium. RNAcentral's name for it is "partial 16S ribosomal RNA". It matches the Rfam family "Bacterial small subunit ribosomal RNA", at positions 568 to 774 of the family's 1533-position model. The record is from RNAcentral.
CGUGUAGGCGGUGCGUUAAGUCGAGUGUGAAAUCCCAUGGCUCAACCAUGGAACUGCAUUCGAAACUGACGUGCUUGAGUGUUGGAGAGGAAAGCGGAAUUCCCGGUGUAACAGUGAAAUGUGUAGAUAUCGGGAGGAACACCAGUGGCGAAGGCGGCUUUCUGGACAACUACUGACGCUGAAACGCGAGAGCUAGGGGAGCAAACA